AAUUUUUAUAGAUAGAAACCAAUCUGACUCACGUCGAUUUGAACUCAAAUCAUGUAAGAUUU
This 62-nucleotide transfer RNA is filed under the name Bombus pratorum. RNAcentral describes it as "tRNA-Trp". The record is from RNAcentral. Lineage: Eukaryota; Metazoa; Arthropoda; Insecta; Hymenoptera; Apidae.